GAUGAACGCUGGCGGCGUGCCUAAUACAUGCAAGUCGAGCGAACGGACGAGAAGCUUGCUUCUCUGAUGUUAGCGGCGGACGGGUGAGUAACACGUGGAUAACCUACCUAUAAGACUGGGAUAACUUCGGGAAACCGGAGCUAAUACCGGAUGAUAUUUUGAACCGCAUGGUUCAAAAGUGAAAGACGGUCUUGCUGUCACUUAUAGAUGGAUCCGCGCUGCAUUAGCUAGUUGGUAAGGUAACGGCUUACCAAGGCAACGAUGCAUAGCCGACCUGAGAGGGUGAUCGGCCACACUGGAACUGAGACACGGUCCAGACUCCUACGGGAGGCCGCAGUAGGGACUCUUCCGCAAUGGGCGAAAGCCUGACGGAGCAACGCCGCGUGAGUGAUGAAGGUCUUCGGAUCGUAAAACUCUGUUAUUAGGGAAGAACAUAUGUGUAAGUAACUGUGCACAUCUUGACGGUACCUAAUCAGAAAGCCACGGCUAACUACGUG
This 497-nucleotide ribosomal RNA is filed under the name uncultured bacterium. Its description in RNAcentral is "partial 16S ribosomal RNA". It matches the Rfam family "Bacterial small subunit ribosomal RNA", at positions 28 to 507 of the family's 1533-position model. The record is from RNAcentral.